This 1247-nucleotide long non-coding RNA is filed under the name Oncorhynchus kisutch (coho salmon). Its description in RNAcentral is "lncRNA (ENSOKIG00005048302.1)". Lineage: Eukaryota; Metazoa; Chordata; Actinopteri; Salmoniformes; Salmonidae. The record is from RNAcentral.
GAGUUUAUCCACCAAUGCUAUGAAAUCUAACAGAUGACAUAUCGCAACCUCGGAUCGAGAACCAGAUUUUGCGGCUGACAUUUGACAGACGGGAGACUGGAAGGGGAGCGGAAGGGAGCGACACAGUGCCUCCGCGAAAGAGCGCUGGAUCACGGCUGGGAGUCCACAGACCGUCGGUGGGGCACGGCCCGUGCCGAUCUGUCGUCCAUGAUCAGACGUCGGGAAAUAAACAUGUAGCUAGCUACUGCUACUUGGUUAUAGUACAUACAAUUCAUCCUAAAUAAGAACACGGGAAAGCGGGUUUAACGUGUCGAUUACGGUACGGUGUUCCACGUUAUUUUGACGCAGAUACAAACCCACAGUACCAGUGGAACAACAACAUACCGGACAGGAAUAGAUUAACUCAGGUGUCCAGCCUCCCUUCAUCACCUCCACCACCACCUCAGGCCUGCAGUCUCCCUCUCUCCCCCCUCUCACCCCAUUCUGUCCCCCGUGGAAGAGGACAACACCCUACCCCAGACCACCCUAGUUCCAACUAGACUACAAUCCAACAUCCUUCCACUCCACCCCUCCCCAAACAGACGAGGGGGAGAGAGGAGCUUCGCCCCCCCCCCUCAUCCCCUCCCUCCCUCUCUCUCCCCCCUCCCAACAUGCAGCCUCAGGGCCUGUAUGUAAGAGCCAUGGUACAGCCCAUCCCUAGAUUGAAAUCUUGAACCACUCCAGUUGUACUCCACUGAGUAAUGAAGUGAAGCUAAAUGUUCUGAUGUGAAACUGGGCUGGACCAGCGCUGAACGGACAGGAGAGAACAGGAUGUGACCUCAGCAUCAGCCCACCUCACUUCCUGUUCAUCUCAACUAAUAGGAAGACUGGAUCACAGGCCUCAAAUUCCACAAUCACCCAAAUCAAACUUUAUUUAUAAAAGCCUUUUUACAGCAACAUUUCUCACAAAGUGCUUUACAGUAGUCACCUUAGUAAACCUCUUUCUGACUUCCAGAGAGCAGGCAGCAGCACAGUGGCAAGGGAAACCCUCCUUACAAGUGGAGAUGUGUUAGCUAACCUCUGACCUCUGACCUGUGUCUGGGCUUGGCUGCUUGUUGGAUCCAGGCUGUAGAAUCUAGUGGUUUCUACUGACCGUAGCUAGGGCGUCAGCUUCUAGAGUGUUCUAUUAGGUUCUAGUACGUUCUAAUAAGGUUCUAGUAUGUUCUGUUAUGUUCUAUUAGAUUAUAAUAUGUUCUCUUAGGUUCUAG